AUCAGAUCCAACAGGAGGAUACUUUGAAUAUCUCCAACUGUUUUAUACAGAUGUAAUACACGAAUAUUUUCCCGACAUGCAUCAAACAGUAUAAAGGACAGGACGAAACGAUGAAAAUUAUGGGACCUUUUCUUUUUUUACCUCCACAGCCAUAUAGUCACUCGUAUGCGAUAUGAAAAACGUAUUUUUGAAAAUAAAAUAAACACAAGCGAAAACACGGACAACACAAGCGGCGCGCGCGGAUGAGCUAGAGCGUGUGCUGGAAAAGGACUGCAAAGCAGGGGGGUGUGGAGGAGGGCUACGCGCAAGCUGAUUGGCUAUCCGUGGACUGACUCCUUCCUGUCGCUCCAAGAUGGAUUAGAGACCUGCGCCUCCAGGGACCGAAGUGUGCCAGAUUCUGUCCAAGGGCCGUCUGCCAGCCCAGCAUCAAACUCCAUCAUCAGCAACAUCUGUGGGGAGAAGGAGGCAUCAGAGUUGGGGAUGCUCUCCAUUUACUACACCUACAUAUUCUCAUCUCUGUAGGUGGCUAAGACUGGGAAACCACAGGAGAGCAGAGAGCUGAGACGUCAGCCAGCUGGAAAGCCAGCAGAAAAGCCAGCCAGCUGAAAAGCUGCAUAUUGGUCAGUGGCAUUCGGAGCUGGGCCUGUUUAUGGAGAAGAAACUGCCCUCUUUAAACAUGACAGACAAACUCUUCAACACCACCCUCAUCAUCACCACCAUCCUGAGCUGUUCUACACUGAGCGUGCUCACCUGCGCAUGCUGAAAGUGAUGGACAGCGUCUUCUAUCAGAAGAUGACCAGAGACGCCAUACUGCCCCCUGUGGACAUCAAACGCAUCUUCACCAACCUCGAGGAGAUUGUCCAAC
Conger conger (European conger) is the source of this 865-nucleotide long non-coding RNA. RefSeq lists it as uncharacterized. The transcript is spliced from 7 exons. NCBI's taxonomy places the organism in Eukaryota, Metazoa, Chordata, Actinopteri, Anguilliformes, Congridae. The record is from RefSeq and is a predicted model, not a curated record.